This is a long non-coding RNA of Manis javanica (Malayan pangolin), 1931 nucleotides long. RefSeq lists it as uncharacterized. The record is from RefSeq and is a predicted model, not a curated record. Lineage: Eukaryota; Metazoa; Chordata; Mammalia; Pholidota; Manidae.
CCGGGGCGGCAGCGGGGCCGAGCGCAGGCGCCGCCCUCUCCCGGCCUCGGGGCGCCUCGGACACGGUUAGUCUUACAUUUAUGGAAGUCAGUCGUUCUCGCACAGUUUGUUUUUCCAGUAGUCGAACAAUUUUGGUGAUGACAGUUCCCAGGUGUUGGUGAUGAAAAACCAGCAUGGAAUGGGUUCUGGAUUGGAGUGGAUGGGAGAGGCACUGCAGAUGAGGAAGAUAAGCAGCCCCAAAGCCACGGUAAAGGAGGGCUCGUCCAUGCGAACCUGGGAGCUGCAGGGUGAUGGCGGAACUUGGAAUGAAGAGGACAACUGUAAGCCCAGGGCUGUCACAGUGAUGGAGAGAUGGCAGUCAGGAAGUCUGUGCGUGACAGCAACAUGGAAGGGGGAAGCCAGCCGCCAUAUGACAGGCAACUGUAUGGAGAAGCCCGCAACGUGAAGAGCUGAAGCCUCUUGCCAGGGCACGUGAGCAAAAUAAAAUGAAAACUGGACCAUGCUUCCUCAUGGAGUCAGAAUAAGAUUCAGCAAGAAGGUUUCACUUCUGGCCGGCCAUCUCCUUUUUUGGGAAUCCCAUUGUUCUCAAGGACCCUGUUUGUUCUACAACUUAUAUCAAAACUCCCCCUUCCUGAACAUGAAGUGGGGAGGAGAGAAGACCUUGGCAUUCCUUCAUGUGGUAGAGGUGGAGCGUGCUCACAUACAGAAUUGAUUUCCUGGAAACUCAGCAGGCCCAGCCUUUUCAAUCUGUGAAUGACAACGGAUGGCAGUCACAGCCUCCCUGGAGGGCACCUCACGUGUCACCAUUAGCAAAAGUAUCAACACAUCCUUCAUCCACUGCAAUUGUAUUUCUAAGUGUCUUUCUUAGAUGUAUAUUGGCAAACAAUCAUAAAGAGACAUAUUCAAGGAUAUUCAAUGGCAGCGUUGUUUGAAACCAUGAAAUCAGAAACAAUAUAAAUGACCAACCAAGGAAAAAUGAUCAGCUGAACUAUAAUGCAUCUAUACUAUGGAAUAUAUCCAAAGAAUAAAAUGGAUCUAUAUUCUGAUGUGGAAAGAUCUUUAAGACAAAUUCUACAUGAAAAGAGCAAUCUGCAGAAAGCUAUUUCUCUAUGUCUAUAUACCCACAUACACAAUGUGCAUAGAUAUGGAAACAAAAGAAAUCGGUUUAGAAGGACACCCAUCAAAUAGAUAGCAGCGAUUACUUCAGGGAAGAAAGUUGCAUUUGUGUGGAAGUUGGAUUAAAGUGGACUUUUCUUUGUUUCUGAAUUAUGAGAAAGGGGCAAGGAAAGCAUGCAUGCAAUGUAGUAUAGAGAUUAAUUUCAUGGUCUCUGGAACCAGAUAACCUGUGUACAUCAUUAAACUUGUGGUUUAAAUAGGUGGCAGUAUGCCACUUAUUUAACCUUCUGUGCUUGGGUUUUCUCCUCUGUAAAAUGGGUUAACAAUCGUGUCUACCUAAGAAAGUGGUUGUAAAAGGUGAAAUAAUAUGAUACAUGUGAAGUGUUUGGCACCUAGUAUGGAUUAUGUUAAGUGUUAGCUUGUAUCAUUGAUGUAGGAAAGAAUAAGUCAUUGGUGACUUCACUCUAGGCAGAGAAAAAUUAUUACAUUCUUCAUAUUUUGGUACUAGUGAGACCUCAGGAAAUGUGCUUUAAAAAAAAUCAGCAUCAAAUAGGGACUCUGUGGCAUCUUACUACACUGAUGGAUAGUGACUGCAAUGGGGUAUAGAGAGUAAUGUUAUAAUCACGUUGCUUUUCUUGUGAAACCUUUGUAAGAGUAUAUAUCAAUGAUACCUUAAUAAAUUAAUAAAAGAAAAAUUAAUCAAUGUCAAACAGCUCUGCAGAUGAGUAUUCUAAUGGUCUUGCUUUUUUAUAGUCAUCCUGGAACAAAGUGCAGCAAGGUGCACUGGAGAAGAGUACAGUCCUUGAUUAUUAGAA